GCCACUUCCUGAUGACAAAACUCAAUUUUACAAUCAGCUGACUCUGAAGAGCCUCACAGAAGAACAGAGGAAAUCUCACAGCCAUGCUUUUAAAGUCUGCAAGACCUUCAAGGAUAUCCUGUGUGUUGAGCUGAUCUCGGAUCAGUCUCUGGUGGUGGUUGAGCGCCCUCUAGAGGACGUCGCCACUCAGUUGCCUGCACCCAUCAAACAAAAGAAAUUUGCCACAUAAGGAUGAACCUCUCCAUCUGUAUGUGUGUGGCCUCAGUGAGGAAGUGUGUUUUUAUUAAGAGACUGAAAAUUGUUCCCCGUUUCCCCCAAUGUAAAAACUGCUGUGACCGUAUUAAAAAUAAAUAUUUACUGUA
Molecule: long non-coding RNA, 362 nt
Organism: Sinocyclocheilus rhinocerous
Lineage: Eukaryota; Metazoa; Chordata; Actinopteri; Cypriniformes; Cyprinidae
Exons: 2
Source: RefSeq, a predicted model, not a curated record